Molecule: ribosomal RNA, 446 nt
Filed under: uncultured bacterium
Lineage: Bacteria
Description: SSU rRNA
Rfam family: Bacterial small subunit ribosomal RNA
Source: RNAcentral
AGAGCGAACGCUGGCGGCAGGCCUAACACAUGCAAGUCGAGCGCCCGUAGCAAUACGGGAGCGGCAGACGGGAUAGUAACACGUGGGAACGCGCCCUUCGGUUCGGAAUAACUCAGGGAAACUUGAGCUAAUACCGGAUACGCCCUUACGGGGAAAGAUUUAUUGCCGAAGGAACGGCCCGCGUCCGAUUAGCUAGUUGGUGAGGUAAUGGCUCACCAAGGCGACGAUCGGUAGCUGGUCUGAGAGGAUGACCAGCAUCACUGGGACUGAGACACGGCCCAGACUCCUACGGGAGGCAGCAGUGGGGAAUAUGGACAAUGGGCGCAAGCCUGAUCCAGCCAUGCCGCGUGGAUGAUGAAGGCCUUAGGGUUGUAAAGUCCUUUUAACGGGGAAGAUAAUGACGGUACCGUAGAAUAAGCCCCGGCUAACUUCGCGCCAGCAGCCGC